This 415-nucleotide ribosomal RNA is filed under the name uncultured prokaryote. Its description in RNAcentral is "bacterial SSU rRNA". It matches the Rfam family "Bacterial small subunit ribosomal RNA", at positions 355 to 774 of the family's 1533-position model. The record is from RNAcentral.
UGAGGAAUUUUGCACAAUGGGGGGAACCCUGACGCAGCAACGCCGCGUGGGUGAUGAAGGCCUUCGGGUCGUAAAGCCCUGUCGGGCGGGAAGAACGUCCCUUCGGGGAAUGACGGUACCGCCAGCGGAAGCACCGGCUAACUCCGUGCCAGCAGCCGCGGUAAUACGGAGGGUGCAAGCGUUAUUCGGAAUUACUGGGCGUAAAGGGCGUGCAGGCGGGAGAGCAAGUCUGAUGUGAAAGCCCGGGGCUUAACCCCGGAAGGGCAUUGGAAACUGCUUUUCUUGAGUUCUGGAGAGGAAGGGAGAAUUCCCGGUGUAGAGGUGAAAUGCGUAGAUAUCUAGAGGAACGCCAGUGGCGAAAGCGGGGCACUGGGCCUUACCUGACGCUGAGGCGCGAAAGCGUGGGUAGCAAACG